Molecule: ribosomal RNA, 491 nt
Filed under: uncultured bacterium
Lineage: Bacteria
Description: partial 16S ribosomal RNA
Rfam family: Bacterial small subunit ribosomal RNA
Source: RNAcentral
GUGAACGCUGGCGGUAGGCCUAACCCAUGCCAGUCGAACGGCAGCACAGUAAGAGCUUGCUCUUACGGGUGGCGAGUGGCGGACGGGUGAGGAAUACAUCGGAAUCUACUUUUUCGUGGGGGAUAAUGUAGGGAAACUUACGCUAAUACCGCAUACGACCUACGGGUGAAAGCAGGGGAUCUUCGGACCUUGCGCGAUUGAAUGAGCCGAUGUCGGAUUAGCUAGUUGGCGGGGUAAAGGCCCACCAAGGCGACGAUCCGUAGCUGGUCUGAGAGGAUGAUCAGCCACACUGGAACUGAGACACGGUCCAGACUCCUACGGGAGGCAGCAGUGGGGAAUAAUGGACAAAGGGCGCAAGCCUGAUCCAGCCAUACCGCGUGGGUGAAGAAGGCCUUCGGGUUGUAAAGCCCUUUUGUUGGGAAAGAAAAGCAGCAGGUUAAUACCCCGCUGUUCUGACGGUACCCAAAGAAUAAGCACCGGCUAACUUCGUG